This 497-nucleotide ribosomal RNA is filed under the name uncultured bacterium. RNAcentral's name for it is "partial 16S ribosomal RNA". It matches the Rfam family "Bacterial small subunit ribosomal RNA", at positions 28 to 507 of the family's 1533-position model. The record is from RNAcentral.
GAUGAACGCUGGCGGCGUGCCUAAUACAUGCAAGUCGAGCGGACGGACGAGAAGCUUGCUUCUCUGGUGUUAGCGGCGGACGGGUGAGUAACACGUGGGUAACCUACCUAUAAGACUGGGAUAACUUCGAGAAACCGUAGCUAAUAAAGGAUAAUAUUUUGAACCGCAUGGUUCAAUAGUAAAAGACGGUCUUGCUGUCACUAAUAGAUGGAUCCGCGCUGCAUUAGCUAGUUGGUAAGGUAACGGCUUACCAAGGCAACGAUGCAUAGCCGACCUGAGAGGGUGAUCGGCAACACUGGAACUGAGACACGGUCCAGACUCCUACGGGAGGCAGCAGUAGGGAAUCUUCCGCAAUGGGCGAAAGCCUGACGGAGCAACGCCGCGUGAGUGAUGAAGGUCUUCGGAGCGUAAAACUCUGUUAUUAGGGAAGAACAUAUGUGUAAGUAACUGUGCACAUCUUGACGGUACCUAAUCAGAAAGCCCCGGCUAACUACGUG